This 253-nucleotide ribosomal RNA is filed under the name uncultured bacterium. RNAcentral's name for it is "partial 16S ribosomal RNA". It matches the Rfam family "Bacterial small subunit ribosomal RNA", at positions 524 to 776 of the family's 1533-position model. The record is from RNAcentral.
UACGUAGGUGGCAAGCGUUGUCCGGAUUUACUGGGCGUAAAGAGCGCGCAGGCGGUCGUUCAAGUCGCGUGUGAAAGCCCCCGGCUCAACUGGGGAGGGUCACGCGAUACUGAUCGACUCGAAGGCAGGAGAGGGAAGUGGAGUUCCCGGUGUAGUGGUGAAAUGCGUAGAUAUCCGGAGGAACACCAGUGGCGAAGGCGACUUUCUGGCCUGUUCUUGACGCUGAGGCGCGAAAGCUAGGGGAGCAAACGGG